Molecule: ribosomal RNA, 1305 nt
Filed under: Bacillus altitudinis
Lineage: Bacteria; Bacillati; Bacillota; Bacilli; Caryophanales; Bacillaceae
Description: bacterial SSU rRNA
Rfam family: Bacterial small subunit ribosomal RNA
Source: RNAcentral
GAGUUUGAUCCUGGCUCAGGACGAACGCUGGCGGCGUGCCUAAUACAUGCAAGUCGAGCGGACAGAAGGGAGCUUGCUCCCGGAUGUUAGCGGCGGACGGGUGAGUAACACGUGGGUAACCUGCCUGUAAGACUGGGAUAACUCCGGGAAACCGGAGCUAAUACCGGAUAGUUCCUUGAACCGCAUGGUUCAAGGAUGAAAGACGGUUUCGGCUGUCACUUACAGAUGGACCCGCGGCGCAUUAGCUAGUUGGUGAGGUAACGGCUCACCAAGGCGACGAUGCGUAGCCGACCUGAGAGGGUGAUCGGCCACACUGGGACUGAGACACGGCCCAGACUCCUACGGGAGGCAGCAGUAGGGAAUCUUCCGCAAUGGACGAAAGUCUGACGGAGCAACGCCGCGUGAGUGAUGAAGGUUUUCGGAUCGUAAAGCUCUGUUGUUAGGGAAGAACAAGUGCAAGAGUAACUGCUUGCACCUUGACGGUACCUAACCAGAAAGCCACGGCUAACUACGUGCCAGCAGCCGCGGUAAUACGUAGGUGGCAAGCGUUGUCCGGAAUUAUUGGGCGUAAAGGGCUCGCAGGCGGUUUCUUAAGUCUGAUGUGAAAGCCCCCGGCUCAACCGGGGAGGGUCAUUGGAAACUGGGAAACUUGAGUGCAGAAGAGGAGAGUGGAAUUCCACGUGUAGCGGUGAAAUGCGUAGAGAUGUGGAGGAACACCAGUGGCGAAGGCGACUCUCUGGUCUGUAACUGACGCUGAGGAGCGAAAGCGUGGGGAGCGAACAGGAUUAGAUACCCUGGUAGUCCACGCCGUAAACGAUGAGUGCUAAGUGUUAGGGGGUUUCCGCCCCUUAGUGCUGCAGCUAACGCAUUAAGCACUCCGCCUGGGGAGUACGGUCGCAAGACUGAAACUCAAAGGAAUUGACGGGGGCCCGCACAAGCGGUGGAGCAUGUGGUUUAAUUCGAAGCAACGCGAAGAACCUUACCAGGUCUUGACAUCCUCUGACAACCCUAGAGAUAGGGCUUUCCCUUCGGGGACAGAGUGACAGGUGGUGCAUGGUUGUCGUCAGCUCGUGUCGUGAGAUGUUGGGUUAAGUCCCGCAACGAGCGCAACCCUUGAUCUUAGUUGCCAGCAUUCAGUUGGGCACUCUAAGGUGACUGCCGGUGACAAACCGGAGGAAGGUGGGGAUGACGUCAAAUCAUCAUGCCCCUUAUGACCUGGGCUACACACGUGCUACAAUGGACAGAACAAAGGGCUGCGAGACCGCAAGGUUUAGCCAAUCCCACAAAUCUGUUCUCAGUUCGGAU